UAGGGAAUCUUCGGCAAUGGACGAAAGUCUGACCGAGCAACGCCGCGUGAGUGAAGAAGGUUUUCGGAUCGUAAAACUCUGUUGGUAGAGAAGAACGUUGGUGAGAGUGGAAAGCUCAUCAAGUGACGGUAACUACCCAGAAAGGGACGGCUAACUACGUGCCAGCAGCCGCGGUAAUACGUAGGUCCCGAGCGUUGUCCGGAUUUAUUGGGCGUAAAGCGAGCGCAGGUGGUUUAUUAAGUCUGGUGUAAAAGGCAGUGGCUCAACCAUUGUAUGCAUUGGAAACUGGUAGACUUGAGUGCAGGAGAGGAGAGUGGAAUUCCAUGUGUAGCGGUGAAAUGCGUAGAUAUAUGGAGGAACACCGGUGGCGAAAGCGGCUCUCUGGCCUGUAACUGACACUGAGGCUCGAAAGCGUGGGGAGCAAACAGGAUUAGAUACCCUGGUAGUCCACGCCGUAAACGAUGAGUGCUAGAUGUAGGGAGCUAUAAGUUCUCUGUAUCGCAGCUAGCGCAAUAAGCACUCCGCCUGGGGGAGUACGACCGCAAGGUUGAAACUCUAAAGUGAAUUGAC
This 570-nucleotide ribosomal RNA is filed under the name uncultured bacterium. Its description in RNAcentral is "partial 16S ribosomal RNA". It matches the Rfam family "Bacterial small subunit ribosomal RNA", at positions 355 to 914 of the family's 1533-position model. The record is from RNAcentral.